GACGAACGCUGGCGGCGUGCUUAACACAUGCAAGUCGAACGGAAAGGCCCUGCUUGCAGGGUGCUCGAGUGGCGAACGGGUGAGUAACACGUGGGUGAUCUGCCCCUUACUUUGGGAUAAGCCUGGGAAACUGGGUCUAAUACUGGAUAGGACCAUGCUGUAGGUGGUGUGGUGGAAAGAUUAGUUUCGGUAAGGGAUGAGCUCGCGGCCUAUCAGCUUGUUGGUGGGGUAAUGGCCUACCAAGGCGUCGACGGGUAGCCGGCCUGAGAGGGUGGACGGCCACAUUGGGACUGAGAUACGGCCCAGACUCCUACGGGAGGCAGCAGUGGGGAAGAUUGCACAAUGGGGGCAAGCCUGAUGCAGCGACGCCGCGUGGGGGAUGACGGCCUUCGGGUUGUAAACUCCUUUCAGCCAUGACGAAGCCCUGGUGGUGACGGUAGUGGUAGAAGAAGCACCGGCUAACUACGUG
This 469-nucleotide ribosomal RNA is filed under the name uncultured bacterium. RNAcentral describes it as "partial 16S ribosomal RNA". It matches the Rfam family "Bacterial small subunit ribosomal RNA", at positions 28 to 507 of the family's 1533-position model. The record is from RNAcentral.